Molecule: ribosomal RNA, 809 nt
Filed under: Bacillus sp. (in: firmicutes)
Lineage: Bacteria; Bacillati; Bacillota; Bacilli; Caryophanales; Bacillaceae
Description: bacterial SSU rRNA
Rfam family: Bacterial small subunit ribosomal RNA
Source: RNAcentral
AGCGGACAGAAGGGAGCUUGCUCCCGGAUGUUAGCGGCGGACGGGUGAGUAACACGUGGGUAACCUGCCUGUAAGACUGGGAUAACUCCGGGAAACCGGAGCUAAUACCGGAUAGUUCCUUGAACCGCAUGGUUCAAGGAUGAAAGACGGUUUCGGCUGUCACUUACAGAUGGACCCGCGGCGCAUUAGCUAGUUGGUGAGGUAACGGCUCACCAAGGCGACGAUGCGUAGCCGACCUGAGAGGGUGAUCGGCCACACUGGGACUGAGACACGGCCCAGACUCCUACGGGAGGCAGCAGUAGGGAAUCUUCCGCAAUGGACGAAAGUCUGACGGAGCAACGCCGCGUGAGUGAUGAAGGUUUUCGGAUCGUAAAGCUCUGUUGUUAGGGAAGAACAAGUGCAAGAGUAACUGCUUGCACCUUGACGGUACCUAACCAGAAAGCCACGGCUAACUACGUGCCAGCAGCCGCGGUAAUACGUAGGUGGCAAGCGUUGUCCGGAAUUAUUGGGCGUAAAGGGCUCGCAGGCGGUUUCUUAAGUCUGAUGUGAAAGCCCCCGGCUCAACCGGGGAGGGUCAUUGGAAACUGGGAAACUUGAGUGCAGAAGAGGAGAGUGGAAUUCCACGUGUAGCGGUGAAAUGCGUAGAGAUGUGGAGGAACACCAGUGGCGAAGGCGACUCUCUGGUCUGUAACUGACGCUGAGGAGCGAAAGCGUGGGGAGCGAACAGGAUUAGAUACCCUGGUAGUCCACGCCGUAAACGAUGAGUGCUAAGUGUUAGGGGGUUUCCGCCCCUUAGUGCUGCAGCUAAC